AAUACAAUUGGUGGGUCAUAUGGUGAUUCUAUGUUUAACCUUUUAAGGAAUUGCCAGACUGUUUUCCAAGGAAGCUGCAUCAUUUUAUUUUCCCAUCACUGAU
Molecule: microRNA precursor, 103 nt
Filed under: Marmota monax (woodchuck)
Lineage: Eukaryota; Metazoa; Chordata; Mammalia; Rodentia; Sciuridae
Source: RNAcentral